RNAcentral lists this ribosomal RNA (497 nucleotides) under uncultured bacterium. RNAcentral's name for it is "partial 16S ribosomal RNA". It matches the Rfam family "Bacterial small subunit ribosomal RNA", at positions 28 to 507 of the family's 1533-position model. The record is from RNAcentral.
GAUGAACGCUGGCGGCGUGCCUAAUACAUGCAAGUCGAGCGAACAGAUGAGGAACUUGUUCCUCUUACGUUAGCGGCGGACGGGUGAGUAACACGUGGAUAACCUACCUUUAAGCCUGGGAUAACUUCUGGAAACCGGAGCUAAUACCGGAUAAUAUCUUUAACCGCAUGGUUCAAUUUUGAAAGAUGCUUUUGCUUUACUUUAUGGUUGUCUCCGCUCCUCAUUACCUAUUUGGUAAGGAAACGGUUUACCAAGGCAACGAUGAGUAGCCGACCGGAGAGGGGGAUCGGCAAAACUGGAACUGAGAAACGGUCCAGACUCCUAGGGGAGGCAGAAGUAGGGAAUCUUCCGCAAUGGGCGAAAGCCUGACGGAGCAACGCCGCGUGAGUGAUGAAGGUCUUCGAAUCGAAAAACUCGGUUAUAAGGGAAGAACAAAGGGGGAAGUAACUAUGCACGUAUUGACGGUACCUAAUCAGAAAGCCACGGCUAACUACGUG